CACGUAGGGCGCAAGCGUUGUCCGGAAUUAUUGGGCGUAAAGAGCUCGUAGGCGGUCUGUUGCGUCCGCUGUGAAAACUCGGGGCUUAACCCCGAGCCUGCAGUGGAUACGGGCAGACUAAAGGUAGGUAGGGGAGAAUGGAAUUCCCGGUGUAGCGGUGAAAUGUGUAGAGAUCGGGAGGAACACCGGUGGCGAAGGCGGUCUUCUGGACGGUGACUGACGCUGAGGCACGAAAGCGUGGGUAGCAAACAGG
RNAcentral lists this ribosomal RNA (253 nucleotides) under uncultured bacterium. RNAcentral's name for it is "partial 16S ribosomal RNA". It matches the Rfam family "Bacterial small subunit ribosomal RNA", at positions 524 to 776 of the family's 1533-position model. The record is from RNAcentral.